GUGGCUGUAGCUCACGUUGGUUAGAGCACCCGGAUGUGGCCCGGGAGGUCGGGGGUUCAAUUCCCCUCAGUCACCCA
This 77-nucleotide transfer RNA is filed under the name Fidelibacterota bacterium. RNAcentral describes it as "tRNA-His". It matches the Rfam family "tRNA". From Rfam's summary of the family: Transfer RNA (tRNA) molecules are approximately 80 nucleotides in length. Their secondary structure includes four short double-helical elements and three loops (D, anti-codon, and T loops). The record is from RNAcentral. Lineage: Bacteria; Pseudomonadati; Fidelibacterota.